GACGUAGGGGGCGAGCGUUGUCCGGAAUUACUGGGCGUAAAGAGCACGUAGGCGGGUAUUUAAGUCAGGUGUGAAAGACCGCAGCCCAACUGCGGGGUUGCACUUGAAACUGGAUAUCUUGAGGGCAGGAGAGGUCAGUGGAAUUCCUGGUGUAGCGGUGAAAUGCGUAGAUAUCAGGAGGAACACCAGUGGCGAAGGCGGCUGACUGGACUGACCCUGACGCUGAGGUGCGAAAGCGUGGGGAGCAAAC
RNAcentral lists this ribosomal RNA (250 nucleotides) under uncultured bacterium. Its description in RNAcentral is "partial 16S ribosomal RNA". It matches the Rfam family "Bacterial small subunit ribosomal RNA", at positions 524 to 773 of the family's 1533-position model. The record is from RNAcentral.